Gadus macrocephalus (Pacific cod) is the source of this 700-nucleotide long non-coding RNA. RefSeq lists it as uncharacterized. The record is from RefSeq and is a predicted model, not a curated record. The transcript is spliced from 2 exons. NCBI's taxonomy places the organism in Eukaryota, Metazoa, Chordata, Actinopteri, Gadiformes, Gadidae.
CGAACCCUGGGAAACAAACACACACACAGACCUCCAGACGUUACAAACCAGGGCACACAUGUUGGGCUCUCCAUGGCGACCUCUGACCCCAGGCCCUGCUCACCGAACUGGUCCUCUCUGCUGAGCUUCUGCUGGUGGAGUCCAGGGUAGUCUGUAACACAACACAGGAGACAUGAGGACAAGUACCACCGCAGUAGUACCAGGAGAGGAGCUUCAGCAGCUGGACCUCCAGAGCAGACACCAGGGAGUCCCUCUCCCUCCUCCACUGGCCCAUCUCCUGCUCCUUCACCGCCAGCUCAGCACAAACACUCUCCUACAGAGAGACAGAGAGCUAGUGUUACACUAGAGCACCGGUCUCCAACAGGGGGACCGCGACCCCUAGAGGGUCCACGGAGGUACUGCAGGGGGGAGGGGGGUUUUGGUUGAUUAGACAUUUUUUUAUAUUCCCCGCAAUUCUUUCCACAAAUUGAAAUGUCUUUAAAUACACAUUAACAUCCAACACAAUCCAACACACUCGCCGUGUUUACAUGGACACUUUUGAUCCGAUUUCUAAUCGGAAUAGAUCUAUUUCUAUCAUGCGAUCCGAAUGUACUAUAUAUGGCAUUUACAAAAGUGGUAAGCGUACGUUCGUAUGUCUCUCGUGCACACCUGACACAUCUGGACAGUUUGCGACAUUUUUAUGCAUUUGAUUUUAAUGAAA